GGAGGGUUGGCAGAGCGGUUUAUCGCACCGGUCUUGAAAAUCGGAGGCCCCGCAAGGGGCCCGGGGGUUCGAAUCCCUCACCCUCCA
RNAcentral lists this transfer RNA (87 nucleotides) under Candidatus Brocadiia bacterium. RNAcentral's name for it is "tRNA-Ser". It matches the Rfam family "tRNA". Rfam says of the family: Transfer RNA (tRNA) molecules are approximately 80 nucleotides in length. Their secondary structure includes four short double-helical elements and three loops (D, anti-codon, and T loops). The record is from RNAcentral. Lineage: Bacteria; Pseudomonadati; Planctomycetota; Candidatus Brocadiia.